GCUUCACAAUCCCCUCCGCGAAACCGAACCAAUCAUGUGUUGAAAGCUUAGCACAGAUCGGCCCAGCACCGGCCCUGCGGCAUCGCCCUCUGCUGCCCUGUUACGGAGUUCCGCCAUACUUGGAUCGAUCAUCGUAGGAAACAGGUUCGUCGUGGUCGGUCCGAAAACCACCCGGAGCGGUGUCGUCGCGAUAGACCCGCACACCGCGUUGGGUGACAUAGGCUGGCAUUGCAGCCUGGCUGGAACGAACGAUGACAUGUCGCGAUUUGGCAUGAUCCGUUCUUGUGGCAGCGUUGCCAGAAGCACAGAGAGCGAUCAAAAGGCAUAAUGCUAAGCCGGAACGCAUUGCAUUUCUCCAAU
This 360-nucleotide unclassified non-coding RNA is filed under the name Hevea brasiliensis (rubber tree). The record is from RNAcentral. Lineage: Eukaryota; Viridiplantae; Streptophyta; Magnoliopsida; Malpighiales; Euphorbiaceae.